RNAcentral lists this ribosomal RNA (606 nucleotides) under Kyphosus bigibbus (brown chub). Its description in RNAcentral is "partial 16S ribosomal RNA". It matches the Rfam family "Bacterial large subunit ribosomal RNA", at positions 1797 to 2608 of the family's 2925-position model. The record is from RNAcentral. Lineage: Eukaryota; Metazoa; Chordata; Actinopteri; Centrarchiformes; Kyphosidae.
CGCCUGUUUAUCAAAAACAUCGCCUCUUGCAAAACUGAGGAAUAAGAGGUCCCGCCUGCCCUGUGACUAUAUGUUUAACGGCCGCGGUAUUUUGACCGUGCGAAGGUAGCGCAAUCACUUGUCUUUUAAAUGGAGACCUGUAUGAAUGGCAUAACGAGGGCUUAGCUGUCUCCUUUUUCAAGUCAAUGAAAUUGAUCUCCCCGUGCAGAAGCGGGGAUAGCACCAUAAGACGAGAAGACCCUAUGGAGCUUUAGACACCAAGGCAGAUCAUGUUAAACACCCCUUCACAAAGGACCAAACCAGAUGAACCCUGCCCUAAUGUCUUUGGUUGGGGCGACCGCGGGGAAACAAAAAACCCCCACGUGGAAUGGGAAUACUCCUUCCUACAACUAAGAGCUCCCGCUCUAAUGACCAGAAUUUCUGACCAAUCAGAUCCGGCAACGCCGAUCAACGGACCAAGUUACCCUAGGGAUAACAGCGCAAUCCCCUUUUAGAGCCCAUAUCGACAAGGGGGUUUACGACCUCGAUGUUGGAUCAGGACAUCCUAAUGGUGCAGCCGCUAUUAAGGGUUCGUUUGUUCAACGAUUAAAGUCCUACGUGAUCUGA